UCCUUGGUGGCUCAGUUAGUAAAGAAUCUGUCUGCAAUGCAGAAGACCCAGGUUUGAUCCCUGGGUUGGGAA
Non-coding RNA from Bos taurus (domestic cattle), 72 nucleotides. The record is from Rfam. NCBI's taxonomy places the organism in Eukaryota, Metazoa, Chordata, Mammalia, Artiodactyla, Bovidae.